CCGAGUUUGGCGUAAUUGGUAGGCGCACCUAGUUACCAGCUAGGCGGCAAUGGAGUGGAAGCUCCUAGCCAUGCAGGUUCAAAUCCUGCAACUCGGA
RNAcentral lists this transfer RNA (97 nucleotides) under Pantanalinema sp. GBBB05. Its description in RNAcentral is "tRNA-Gly". It matches the Rfam family "tRNA". Rfam says of the family: Transfer RNA (tRNA) molecules are approximately 80 nucleotides in length. The record is from RNAcentral. Lineage: Bacteria; Bacillati; Cyanobacteriota; Cyanophyceae; Leptolyngbyales; Leptolyngbyaceae.